UGCAAAGCUCUUUGUCAUCUUAGCAUUUGCUUUUGUGCUCUCAUUGAAUACACUGGUGGUGCCCAGCUGUCGCUGCUGGUGUCUGUGUUUUUCAGAAGCUGAAGGGUACCACUUCACAAUGUGGAAAUAUAUGUUUUCUUUUUCUUCCACAUAUUUUUAACAAUUAUUUUUGAAGGUAUCAUAUUUGUUUUUGAUGCUGCUGAUAAAACCGCUAAGCAAUAUUAUGCCUCUUCUAUUGUUGUAUCUGUAGUUGAUUGUAUCUUAAGAUUAUGUUUAAGUGAACUUGUUUUUCUGUUGCCCUUUCACUUCUCAAGUUUUUCACGGCGAUGUUUCAGUUCCAGAAUGAUGAAAAGAUUCUAAAAAGUUUUUAAAAAAUCCUAUUUCUAAUCCAGGCAGGUUUGCAAAUGUUGGUAGGAAGUUCAGUUGAGCUGAGUAAAAUCUAAAAUUCUUGAUUAGCAGCUUUAAUCCUAUCCUAGAAGGAACGCACAGAUAUCUCUCUGCACUUGUCAAAACCUCUACUGUAGUCAUCAUUUUAUUUAUUUUACUGCAUUAUUCAUGUCCUUUAAAUUCAAGUCUUCUACACAGAAGAGCCAUGUUUCAUUGUGCCACAGGCUGAGUAGGUGAGAUAAGCCCAUUUUCCUGUGAGAAGGUGUUUCAGUGGGAGAAAUAACCGGCUGAGGAAGAGAAUAAUUUCCUAAGUGGCAUUUCAUCUUUACUGAAUGUUUCCAUGCAUUUGUUACGCGACUGUCAACUCUCAAAUUCAAGAGUUCCAUCUAGAGGAAUCCUCUUUCAUGAACUUGGCUUUGCUGGCCUUUUAAUGUGUCACAUUCCCUGGCUGGAAAUAAAUUAAUUCAUUUUUUCAUCAAGGUUUUUUUUUUUCCUUUUUUUAGACUACUUACAAAUUCCAUUGUAGUACUACUUGCUGGUAGUCUUUGAAAUGACACUUUAACAUCCAAACGCCCUGCUUAUGCUUAAGACACUGUGCCCAUAUUUCUGCUUACCAAGCGUGCUGAAGAGAGAGAGAAAUUCUGGUCAUGUCUGACUGUCACUCAUGAAUUUGUAGCCUGGAAAGCUGCACGGCUCAGGUUUUCACAUCAACAGAAAUAAAAUAUAUCCUUAAGCAAAAAAUAUUUAGAGUGGCUGAACAGACUCCGGCAACAGCAAACCAUGUAAUAUUAUAGAAAAUAUUGAAUGCAUACAUAUCCACUGAGAACUAAUACUUCGGCAAAUGGACAUAAAUCUUUUUUCAGUUUGGAUUAGAAGUCGCUGUUUCCAGGUCUAUUCUUCUUAACCUGGAGAGAAAUUUGGAGAAAAAUCCUUCCGAAAUACAAAUGUGAGCAAUUUCCUUCUGGGGUUAGGAUUUAAAUUUCUGUUGACUUUUUAUCUAAUGAACCUUCUAGUACCUUCUGCUGCUCAGAUACUCCGCUUGAUCUUUUCUAAUAUUCCUUGUUUGUCAGAUGCAGAGAUAAAAUACCUUGGUAAUGUUUAAUAUUGAAGUCUCAUAUUUAAACUAUAUUAAAAUGAUCUUUGUAUUCAGAUGUGUGGAAUUUGCUUGAGACAGAAGCCAGCUUUCCAGAUGUCAGAGAGAAAAAUCUUCUCUCUCCAAACCAUGUUAGUUAGAGGGUAGCAUGGUACAACCAUACCAAAUGGGCUGAAGACAUUCCAUUCUUGGUGCUAGCUGGAGUUAGUGGCUGCUGUAGUUUUAUUUGCUCACAACAAAAUAGGACAGAACAAAACAGAACAAAAAAUACUUUAAGAUUUCCCGUGUCUUUGCUUUCCCAACCAAAAUUAACCACGCCUUCAGUAUUCAUGCUGAGUCUAACAGCACUCUUAUACUGUAUGAUCUUUAUUGGGUUAGCUGGGUUAGCAAAGCCUGCAAGGUUAAGUUCUGAGUGCUUUUUAAAGAAAACUCCUUGAUGUGUCCUUAAAAAAACAGUACAGCAAAGGUGAAGUGUAUGUGAUGCUACAGUAGAGAACUAAGAGCAAAUCACCGAGGCAAGUAAAGCUUUGCAGUUAAGUAAUCUGAGGAAUUCAGCAGAGGCAAAAUGUAAGUCACGGGCUGAAAGCGGACCUCUGCAGACAGAGAGGAGAGUUCGUGACUGCAAUGAGUUUUGAAGGGCAGAGGACAUAUCUUUGGAGGUAACACUAUUUGCACAGAAGCAUUUCUGAAGAAAAACUGUGAUCCAUAAAGAACUUCCCGAACAAGAUAACUGCAAAGCAGAUUUAAUUGUGAAUAUUUAUUGCUCUUCAAAACAAUGAGACUGCUUAAUAAUGGUGCAACAAGAACUGAAAAUCCAGGAAGCAGGCAGUGCAAAGUCUACAACAUCCUUAGUUUUACCCCCUGUGUCCAUAUGUGCUCACUAUCCAUCAGCUGAAGUUCCUAACUAGCUGUCAUAGGAAAUGACACUCCAGAGUGUGUACGUUUGCUUUUUGCAUGAUGGUAUUUUUACAGAAAUUUACCGUUCAAUGGGUUUAAUUUGUUGUCUAAACUGAUAACAACUCCAGCCCAGAGAAGCAUUUAAAUACACAUUAACAAUAAAGUUAAGCACACUUAAAAUGCUCUCUCAGUUGGAAUCCAAGACCUGAUCUUGAAUCCCUCAUGCCUAUGAUUCAGUGUAUAGAAGCCACAAAUUUAUUAGCACAGUAAAGAGCUGAUUGGUGCUAUCUGUGAAAUGCUCUUGUCUGAACUGCAGAGAAAUCUCAGGAAAAGCAGUAAAGGAACAGAAGAUGAUCUGAUGCUUCCAUAAAUAGAGUGUGGAAAAAGUCCUCAUAGAUUUUUUUUUCCAGUGGAAAGUGUAUAAUUUAACUGAUAUAGAAAUGUUUCACAGGACUGUGCUGCUCAAUUUAAAUAAAAGACAACAAAAAAAUACACAAUUCAAAUGUUUUCACCGUCAUAGGUAGUUAUAGCUUUUGUAUUAAAACAACUUCUAGGUUAGAAAUGUCAUUUUAAUGACAACAAGUGACAUAGACUUAAUGCAUCCAUUUUAAUCAAAGAGCAC
Gallus gallus (chicken) is the source of this 2999-nucleotide long non-coding RNA. The record is from Ensembl. NCBI's taxonomy places the organism in Eukaryota, Metazoa, Chordata, Aves, Galliformes, Phasianidae.